UGUCUCCUGGUUCCAGCAGCACAGGCGGAGAACGUCUGCACUUGUUUAGCCCUUCGUGUUUGUGUACGCUCAAUUCUAUCCUUCUUCCUCUUCUUGUUUUUUCCACCUUUCAUUUUUCGUACACGCUACGACAUCAUGCCAGGACCACACGUGUUGUCAUGGUAACAGCACAUCGGCUAUUUGGAGUUCUUGCAUGUUGGCGACAACAACUCGUAAAUACUUGGAGAAGGUGUCUCUGUCCAGGAGGUUCCUGAAAGACAAGGAGAAGAAGAAUGAGCAAGAAGACAAACGUGAAAAGUGAUUGAAAGGCGAGCAGCAGUCGAGGAGGAGAGAAGAGAAGAAAAAGGGAGAGUGAGGAGCGGAGGAUGAAACGGUGAAGGAGAAGAAGGAGAAAGAAGAGAGCCGACGUAAGAAGAAGAGGAUUCAAACCUCAGAUGUUCCAUUGAGAGAAGAAGAAAGAGGGCAAGCGUGUGAAGAAGAAAGCACACCUUGACACCGCUCACCUUGGUCGUGUGUUUGUGCUGCGUUCAAAGACUCCUUCAUCAUGGGAAAUUGUGCCGACUCAGCUUCUCGUGCCUCGGAGGGCCAAUGAGCAGACUAAUGUGCGCACAUCUGCAGCGCGGGAAAAAGCUGCGCGCGCAGUUUUGAAAUGAGCCUCAGUCGGCAUGAACGCUGACCAUCCCGAAACACGAACAAAGGUCAGGAGCGGCGUUCCAAGCUUAGGACGGAUUUUUUUUUAAUUAACGUUUUAUUAAAUCUCCCUGGUUGCUUCCAGCUGUACGAUACGUUUAAAAAAUAAUGAAGUACUUUUAAAUUAAAGCAACAAUGACUUUCAUUCUCGGAGUCAAGAGGUGAAACUGAAUGCCGUCACUGCCCUCUGGUGGACAAAAGGGGUAAGUGACGUUUCAUCGACUUUUAUGGGAAUUACUUUCUUUCUGGCUUUUUCGGAGCCAUGUUUGUUUAUGUUUAUUUUCUUCCAUUUCAAUUUGUAAAAGUUUUUUUUUUUAAUGUCAAUCAAUAUUGAAAAUAUUUUAUUGAAAAAGUUAAGCUAGAGUGUUUUUCAACCUUUUUUGAGUCAAGGCACAUUUUUUGCGUUGAAAAAAUCCGCAGGCAGACUACCAGAAUAAAUCAUUAAAAAAGGAAACUCAGUUGACGGUAAAAAAUCGUAGCAAUUGUUGGAUAUGACUUUAAAGCAUAACCAAGCAUGCAUCACUAUAGCUCUUGUCUCAAAGUAGGUGCGCUGUCACAUCACACCCUGACUUAUUUUGACUUUUUUGCUGUUUUCCUGUAUGUAGUGUUUUAAUUAUUGUCUUGUUCUCCUAUUUUGGUGGCGUUUUCUCUUUUUUUGUUAUUUUCCUGUAGCAGUUUCAUGUCUUCCUUUGAGCGAUAUUUCCCACAUCUACUUUGUUUUAGCAAUUCAACAAUAUUUCAGUUGUUUUUAUCUUUCUUUGUGGGGACAUUGUCGAUUGUCAUGUCAUGUUCAGAUGUACAUUGGGGAAGCCGUCUUUGCUCCACUGCAAGUCUUUGCUGUCGUCCAGCAUUCUGUUUUUGUUUACUUUGUAGCCAGUUCAGUUUUAGUUUUGUUCUGCAAAGCCAUCCCUAAGCUUCAAUGCCUUUUCUUAGGGGCACUCACUUUUUGUUUAUUUUUGGUUUAAGCAUUAGACACAAUUUUACCUGCACCCUGCCUCCCUCUGUUUCCGACAUCUACAAAGCAAUUAGCAACGGCUGUCACCGACUGGUAUGGAAUAGUAUCACACGGUUACUCUGCCGAGCUCUAGACAACACCGACGCUCAACAACAACACAUAAUUUACAGACUAUAAUUACUGGUUUGAAAACAAUUUUAACCCAAAUAGGUGAAAUUAGACAAUCUCCCACGGCACACCAGGCUCGCGGCACAGUGGUUGAAAAACACUGCACUAUGUGACACCAGGGAGGUCACUUCCGUCUGUGUUAAUAA
Long non-coding RNA from Nerophis ophidion (straightnose pipefish), 1959 nucleotides. RefSeq lists it as uncharacterized. The transcript is spliced from 5 exons. The record is from RefSeq and is a predicted model, not a curated record. Lineage: Eukaryota; Metazoa; Chordata; Actinopteri; Syngnathiformes; Syngnathidae.